AUUUUUCUGCAAUGAUUUUAAGUACUUUCAUGGCAUUGGUCUGCGAGAGAUAGUACAGGAUUCCCUCCAAUAUCCAGACUGUACUCUUGUUUGUCUGAAAUCCUGAUGUUUCGAGCUUUUCAAGCCAGUCAUCUUCCGUUAGAAUUGUGGCUUUUGCUUGCAGAACCUCAGGAAAAUCAACCUCAAAAACACUGCUUUCUUUUAAACAGCAUAGGCGAUGUGAUCUUGCAUCCAUACCUGCAGGAAAGUCUCACCUGCAAACAGCUCGGCCAGCGGGUCAUGUAUCACCUGCUUCCACAAUGCCCGCCCAGCCGCUGUCUGGCACGCUGACCGCCUCAGGAAAUCCCAGUCGCUCUUGAUGGUUGCAUGAAGGCCUGCCAGAGUAUCGCUGCUCAGCAGCUCAGACAACUUCAGUUCUGGCCAAGUUAAAUGAAUGAAGGGAGGUUCUGAGGAGAGAGUGGAGUCAAGAUAUAGUCAUGAGGAUAAGGAAAGAGAGCCACACACAUAAUCAACAUGAAAGGUUCUAAGAUAUCCAGCCUCAUUUUGUGUGUAGGGAAAGAGAAAGGUGAUGAAGAGUCCACGAUCACCUUCAUCCAAUUGCAUAAAAAAGUGGCUGAAAAAGGCUCCCACCUUCAAAAUGUGGUUCCCACUUUUUUAUAUUUGUUGAAGAUGAUGUUUUGUUACGUACUUUAUCCUGAGAUAUUCACAUAUGGGCAUGUAAAGUAAUCAUAAUUCUUUAAACAAUAAAGUAGUGCAACUUUUUCAGGAUUUUAA
Salvia splendens (bonfire salvia) is the source of this 774-nucleotide long non-coding RNA. RefSeq lists it as uncharacterized. The transcript is spliced from 4 exons. Lineage: Eukaryota; Viridiplantae; Streptophyta; Magnoliopsida; Lamiales; Lamiaceae. The record is from RefSeq and is a predicted model, not a curated record.